This 310-nucleotide ribosomal RNA is filed under the name uncultured bacterium. Its description in RNAcentral is "partial 16S ribosomal RNA". It matches the Rfam family "Bacterial small subunit ribosomal RNA", at positions 503 to 807 of the family's 1533-position model. The record is from RNAcentral.
AAGAGACAGCAGCCGCCGCGGUAAUACGUAGGUGGCAAGCGUUGUCCGGAAUUAUUGGGCGUAAAGCGCGCGCGGGUGGUUUAAUAAGUCUGAUGUGAAAGCCCACGGCUCAACCGUGGAGGGUCAUUGGAAACUGUUAAACUUGAGUGCAGGAGAGAAAAGUGGAAUUCCUAGUGUAGCGGUGAAAUGCGUAGAGAUUAGGAGGAACACCAGUGGCGAAGGCGGCUUUUUGGCCUGUAACUGACACUGAGGCGCGAAAGCGUGGGGAGCAAACAGGAUUAGAUACCCCCGUAGUCCCUGUCUCUUAUAC